GCGGGUCGGGCUUCAAACCCGUGUUUGGG
This 29-nucleotide transfer RNA is filed under the name uncultured eukaryote. RNAcentral's name for it is "partial Selenocysteine transfer RNA". The record is from RNAcentral.